CGUGUCGUGAGAUGUCGUUAAGUCCGCUACGAGCGCAACCCUCGUCCGUGUGUUAUACGUGUCACACGAUACUGCCGGUAUCAAGCCGGAGGAAGGUGGGGAUGAUGUCAAGUCAGCAUGGCCUUUAUAUCCUGGGCUACACACACGCUACAAUGGCAGAUACAAUAGGUUGCGAAACCGCGAGGUGGAGCCAAUCCUCAAAGUCUGUCUCAGUUCAGAUUGUAGGCUGCAACUCGCCUGCAUGAAGUUGGAGUUGCUAGUAAACGCAGGUCAGCUAUACUGCGUUGAAUACGUUCCCGGGGUUU
This 305-nucleotide ribosomal RNA is filed under the name uncultured Leptolinea sp. RNAcentral describes it as "bacterial SSU rRNA". It matches the Rfam family "Bacterial small subunit ribosomal RNA", at positions 1061 to 1382 of the family's 1533-position model. The record is from RNAcentral. Lineage: Bacteria; Bacillati; Chloroflexota; Anaerolineae; Anaerolineales; Anaerolineaceae.